UACUGACUCUUGGCUAGUUUGAAGAA
This 26-nucleotide unclassified non-coding RNA is filed under the name Mus musculus (house mouse). Its description in RNAcentral is "oocyte_clustered_small_RNA9944". The record is from RNAcentral. Lineage: Eukaryota; Metazoa; Chordata; Mammalia; Rodentia; Muridae.